Molecule: long non-coding RNA, 747 nt
Filed under: Homo sapiens (human)
Lineage: Eukaryota; Metazoa; Chordata; Mammalia; Primates; Hominidae
Description: HSALNT0081503
Source: RNAcentral
AGGAUCAAAAUUCCAUUUUGCCUCUUUUGGUUUUUCAAAGAUUGUCAGAAUUCCGAAAGUGACCAUGUUUUAAAAUUAUACUUCAUCUAUGUAUUGUAUCUUUAUUGAAUGUAAAAAAAAAUUCCUGAAACAGAAAUUUUUUACCAUGUCAUUAUUGACAUUAGACAUCAUUGUCAUCAUCAACAUUAUUAAAUACAUUUUCUAGAACAGGUUUUGGGGGAAUCAGUAUGGUCAAAGUGGUGAAAAAGGGGAAUAAAAUGAGGUAGAACUCAUAAAGGAUUUAUUUUAUUUAAGAAGGUCGGCAUAAACAUAAAACAGGAAAUAAGCAUGCAAAUGAGUCUACAUCCACCGUCAAAUGAGGUGCUAGUGAGUAGUAAUGUGAAUCCAGAGGAGGAACAUUCACUGAACAACACAAUGCUUAGUGAAGGGCUUUAGAAGGACGAGACUCAGCAUGGGCUCUUGGGCCUCUCACCAAAUUCAACCUGAGAGAUGCCAAAACAAAGAAAAUAAAGUUGAGGGGCCGAGCUUGGUGGCUCACGCCUGUAAUCCCAACACUUUGCGAGGCCGAGGUGGACGGAUCACUUGAGGUCAAGAGUUUAAGACCAGCCGGGCCAACAUGGUGAAACCCUGUCUUUACUAAAAAUAUAAAAAUUAGCUGGGAGUGGUGGCCCGUGGUUCCAGCUACUUGGGAGGCUGAAGCAGGAGAAUCGCUUGAACCCAGGAGGCGAAGGUGGCAGUGAGCCGAGA